GGCUGCUCGAGUGACUGGUC
This 20-nucleotide non-coding RNA is filed under the name Arabidopsis thaliana (thale cress). Lineage: Eukaryota; Viridiplantae; Streptophyta; Magnoliopsida; Brassicales; Brassicaceae. The record is from RNAcentral.